ACAUUACCUAAUUCUUUCACCUCAAAGUUCCACCUUAUUACAAAAAUGCCACUGCUUCGUUUACGCUGGGUCGCGUGUCCACAAGCUGAUACUCCUCUCCUCUUACCAAACUUCCGCGAGAAGCUUUGAUUUCAAAUAUCUAUUUUCAAUUUUUCAAAGCUACUUCCAGGGAGACGAUCAAUACAAUCCUGGUGUUUCUUCUCCUCUUUUUAGGCUUUAUUUCGUUGCUGGCAGAUAAAGUGCUCGAUGAUUUGUCUCAGAGAAAAAGUUUGAUAAUUUUAUCAUUCUGUAUGUAUCAUUUUAUGUUUGUUACUACAUGAUUUAGUUUAUCAUCCAUUUUGUUUGAUUCAUUGAUUGGCUAUCUUCAAUUGUUCCAUUUAUAUAAUAAUCGAUGUGAUGGACUUUUACUUUUAUGUUUGUUACUACAGGGUACUUUUGUUUCUGAUUACGUUGUCUCUUUUCGGAUUUCAGGUAAUGACGAUUCUUGGCUUCUAUGAUUCAGGUUGAAUUUUGUCCGGAAACUGUUUGAUGAGUUGUCCAAAAGAACAAGAUCGAUGAAUAUAUCACUAUUCAGACAAUAAGGUGCUUGGGAAACAUGGCAAACCGGCCAUUCUGGAGAACUGGACUAAUCCUGAACAAGUUUCUUAUAUGCCCUGUAAAAGUUUAUUCAUUUUGCAAGGUACAGUACUUCGUAUGAUUAUCAGUAGAAAUUUACAUGGUGGUAUGCACUACGUAGUUCAUUUUGUUUUCAUAACUUUUGAUUUGGUUGGUUUGUGUUUGCCUGAGAAAGAAACUAACUUUUAUUACUAAAAACUGAAACCUUGCUGUGUUGAAACCUCAACACCAAUACGAGAAACCAUAGAAUGAAGAUUUUCUGACCGGCAAUUAUAUCCCUCAUAUAUGUAUACUUGAGUAAAGAUCGCAUGGGAGUUUUUAGUUUAUUGCUGAAACAAUUUCUUUGCAAGAGUUGUAUAUCUGUGUUGAUAUUGAUUAAAUGUUUUGUAUAUCUGUGUUGAUCUUAGUAGGAUAUAGAGUGAUUAGAUAGUUUAUCGCGUUGGCUUGAUUAGGUGUAUUUCAGUUAGUUGGUAUUUAUAUUAUCAAUUUGGGAAGACAUGGGAGAAGCUUCAGAUGGCAGCCAGAGUCAUUGUUAUUGCUCGGUACACGGGUGUCAAUGCUAUUGCUGGACUUCACACUCCUGAUACUUUUACUAAUCAGUUGCAGACAUCGUUUAGUGAGCCCCGUCUCCUCAUUUUGACCGAUCCAAGAAUUGAUCACCACACAUUGGUAUCUGCAAAUAACAAAGGGAAACAAAACAUUGAUUGUCUCUUCUGGAUUUUAGCAAUAAUGGUCUUACAGAUGCGUGGUGUCAUCGGUUGUCUCUUCUGGAUUUUAGCAAGGAUGGUUUUAUCGAGAGCAUAGAUUGUUGAAUUUUUUUUUUCUACAGAAAACUUGAAGAGGCAAAUGAAGAAGAAGAGGAAGCGACAUUAGCUGAUUAUGCAGAAUACUCCAUUACUGCUCUAUUCAAGUGUGAGGCGUCACUCGGCGACAGCGAUCAGUCUUUGAUAAAAAAAUGAAUUUUACAUAUUCAAAGAUAUUAUGUGUUAGAUAUAAUUGAUGAUUACUAAUGUUCUUAAAGUUUGUUUUAGAACAGGAGUGAUCAGAGUUUAAGCUGGAAGCUGAUCAGAGUUUAAUAAAGUCUGACCAGAGUUUGAUAAAGUCUGAUCAGAGUUUACAUAGUCAAGACUCGUCAGAGUUUACACGUGGAAAGAGCUCAGAAGCGGAUAUACUUCAAGGAAGGAUAGAAGCAGAGGAGUGAUUUGCUGACUAUGGAAACUAAACAGAAAACAGUAGCAAUCUUUGAUUGAUAGAAUACAUAGCUGAUUUAUAGGAUAUCAAAUCAGAGAUUGAUUUUGUAACUGUGUCUAUAUAAACACAGAUUAGGGUUACUCUAUAUGAGUUGAGUUAUCGAGUAUAUUUUACAGAAC
Molecule: long non-coding RNA, 1985 nt
Organism: Daucus carota subsp. sativus
Lineage: Eukaryota; Viridiplantae; Streptophyta; Magnoliopsida; Apiales; Apiaceae
Exons: 7
Source: RefSeq, a predicted model, not a curated record